AUUAAACGCUGGCGGCAUGCCUUACACAUGCAAGUCGAACGGCAGCACGGGGGCAACCCUGGUGGCGAGUGGCGGACGGGUGAGUAAAGCAUCGGAACGUAUCCUGGAGUGGGGGAUAACGUAGCGAAAGUUACGCUAAUACCGCAUAUUCUGUGAGCAGGAAAGCAGGGGAUCGCAAGACCUUGCGCUCUGGGAGCGGCCGAUGUCGGAUUAGCUAGUUGGUGGGGUAAAGCCUACCAAGGCGACGAUCCGUAGCGGGUCUGAGAGGAUGAUCCGCCACACUGGAACUGAGACACGGUCCAGACUCCUACGGGAGGCAGCAGUGGGGAAUUUUGGACAAUGGGGGCAACCCUGAUCCAGCCAUGCCGCGUGAGUGAAGAAGGCCUGG
Molecule: ribosomal RNA, 388 nt
Filed under: uncultured bacterium
Lineage: Bacteria
Description: bacterial SSU rRNA
Rfam family: Bacterial small subunit ribosomal RNA
Source: RNAcentral